This 140-nucleotide ribosomal RNA is filed under the name uncultured bacterium. Its description in RNAcentral is "partial 16S rRNA". It matches the Rfam family "Bacterial small subunit ribosomal RNA", at positions 355 to 511 of the family's 1533-position model. The record is from RNAcentral.
UGGGGAAUUUUCCGCAAUGGGCGAAGCCUGACGGAGCAAUGCCGCGUGGAGGUGGAAGGCCUACGGGUCGUCAACUUCUUUUCUCGGAGAAGAAACAAUGACGGUAUCUGAGGAAUAAGCAUCGGCUAACUCUGUGCCAG